UACAUGUGGGGCAAGCGUUGUUCGGAAUUACUGGGCAUAAAGGGUGCGUAGGCGGCUUGUUAAGUCAGGGGUGAAAGUUUUCGGCCCAACCGGAAAAUUGCCUUUGAUACAGGCGAGCUCGAGUGCGUGAGGGGUAACCGGAACGAGCAGUGUAGCGGUGAAAUGCGCAGAUAUCAGGAGGAACACCGGUGGCGAAGGCGGGUCUCUGGGCCGAUACUGACGCUGAGGAGCGAAAGCGUGGGGAGCGAACAGG
RNAcentral lists this ribosomal RNA (253 nucleotides) under uncultured bacterium. RNAcentral describes it as "partial 16S ribosomal RNA". It matches the Rfam family "Bacterial small subunit ribosomal RNA", at positions 524 to 776 of the family's 1533-position model. The record is from RNAcentral.